GCCUUUGUGGUGUAAAGGUCAGCACACUCGGCGCGUAUUCGAGAGAUCGAGGUUCGAGUCCCAGCGAGGGCA
RNAcentral lists this transfer RNA (72 nucleotides) under Stegodyphus mimosarum. It matches the Rfam family "tRNA". From Rfam's summary of the family: Transfer RNA (tRNA) molecules are approximately 80 nucleotides in length. Their secondary structure includes four short double-helical elements and three loops (D, anti-codon, and T loops). Lineage: Eukaryota; Metazoa; Arthropoda; Arachnida; Araneae; Eresidae. The record is from Rfam by way of RNAcentral.